AUUGAACGCUGGCGGCAUGCCUUACACAUGCAAGUCGAACGGUAACGGGCCUUCGGGUGCCGACGAGUGGCGAACGGGUGAGUAAUACAUCGGAACGUGCCCGAUCGUGGGGGAUAACGAGGCGAAAGCUUUGCUAAUACCGCAUACGAUCUACGGAUGACAGCAGGGGACCGCAAGGCCUUGCGCGGACGGAGCGGCCGAUGGCAGAUUAGGUAGUUGGUGGGAUAAAAGCUUACCAAGCCGACGAUCUGUAGCUGGUCUGAGAGGAUGAUCAGCCACACUGGGACUGAGAAACGGCCCAGACUCCUACGGGAGGCAGCAGUGGGGAAUUUUGGACAAUGGGCGCAAGCCUGAUCCAGCCAUGCCGCGUGCAGGAUGAAGGCCUUCGGGUUGUAAACUGCUUUUGUACGGAACGAAAAGCCUUCUUUUAAUACAGGAGGGUCAUGACGGUACCGUAAGAAUAAGCACCGGCUAACUACGUG
This 482-nucleotide ribosomal RNA is filed under the name uncultured bacterium. RNAcentral's name for it is "partial 16S ribosomal RNA". It matches the Rfam family "Bacterial small subunit ribosomal RNA", at positions 30 to 507 of the family's 1533-position model. The record is from RNAcentral.